UACGGAAGGCAGCAGUGGGGAAUAUUGCACAAUGGGCGCAAGCCUGAUGCAGCCAUGCCGCGUGUAUGAAGAAGGCCUUCGGGUUGUAAAGUACUUUCAGUCGUGAGGAAGGUGUUAAGGUUAAUAACCUUAGCAAUUGACGUUAGCGACAGAAGAAGCACCGGCUAACUCCGUGCCAGCAGCCGCGGUAAUACGGAGGGUGCGAGCGUUAAUCGGAAUUACUGGGCGUAAAGGGCACGCAGGCGGUUAAUUAAGUUGGAUGUGAAAUCCCCGGGCUUAACCUGGGAAUGGCAUUCAAGACUGGUUAGCUAGAGUCUUGUAGAGGGGGUAGAAUCCCAUGUGUAGCGGUGAAAUGCGUAGAGAUGUGGAGGAAUACCGGUGGCGAAGGCGGCCCCUGGACAAAGGCUGACGCUCAUGUGCGAAAGCGUGGGGAGCAAACAGGGAUUAGAUACC
This 453-nucleotide ribosomal RNA is filed under the name uncultured bacterium. RNAcentral describes it as "bacterial SSU rRNA". It matches the Rfam family "Bacterial small subunit ribosomal RNA", at positions 340 to 786 of the family's 1533-position model. The record is from RNAcentral.